RNAcentral lists this ribosomal RNA (280 nucleotides) under uncultured Enterobacteriaceae bacterium. RNAcentral describes it as "partial 16S ribosomal RNA". It matches the Rfam family "Bacterial small subunit ribosomal RNA", at positions 1100 to 1382 of the family's 1533-position model. The record is from RNAcentral. Lineage: Bacteria; Pseudomonadati; Pseudomonadota; Gammaproteobacteria; Enterobacterales; Enterobacteriaceae.
AACCCUUAUCCUUGUUGCCAGCGGUCGGCCGGGAACGUCAAGGAGACUGCCAGUGAUAAACUGGAGGAAGGUGGGGAUGACGUCAAGUCAUCAUGGCCCUUACGACCAGGGCUACACACGUGCUACAAUGGCGCAUACAAAGAGAAGCGACCUCGCGAGAGCAAGCGGACCUCAUAAAGUGCGUCGUAGUCCGGAUUGGAGUCUGCAACUCGACUCCAUGAAGUCGGAAUCGCUAGUAAUCGUGGAUCAGAAUGCCACGGUGAAUACGUUCCCGGGCCUU